UGCAUAUCAAAAAGCGGAGGAAAAGAAACCAACAGGGAUUGCCUCAGUAACGGCGAGUGAAGCGGCAACAGCUCAAAUUUGAAAUCUGGCCCUUUCAGGGUCCGAGUUGUAAUUUGUAGAGGAUGUUUCGGCGAGGGCUCCCGUCUAAGUUCCCUGGAACGGGACGUCAUAGAGGGUGAGAAUCCCGUAUGUGAUGGGUUGCUCGAGCCAUGUGAAACUCCUUCGACGAGUCGAGUUGUUUGGGAAUGCAGCUCUAAAUGGGAGGUAAAUUUCUUCUAAAGCUAAAUACCGGCCAGAGACCGAUAGCGCACAAGUAGAGUGAUCGAAAGAUGAAAAGCACUUUGGAAAGAGAGUUAAAAAGUACGUGAAAUUGUUGAAAGGGAAGCGCUUGCAACCAGACUUGUCCGCAGUUGCUCAGCCGGUCUCCUGACCGGUGUACUCUUCUGCGGCCAGGCCAGCAUCAGUUCGGGCGGUUGGAUAAAGGCCCCGGGAAUGUGGCUCUCUUCGGGGAGUGUUAUAGCCCGGGGCGGAAUGCAGCCAGCCUGGACUGAGGAUCUCGCUUCGGCAAGGAUGCUGGCGUAAUGGUUGUAAGCGGCCCGUCUUGAACCCACGGGACCCA
This 619-nucleotide ribosomal RNA is filed under the name Aplosporella longipes. RNAcentral describes it as "eukaryotic LSU rRNA". It matches the Rfam family "Eukaryotic large subunit ribosomal RNA", at positions 37 to 664 of the family's 3401-position model. The record is from RNAcentral. Lineage: Eukaryota; Fungi; Ascomycota; Dothideomycetes; Botryosphaeriales; Aplosporellaceae.